Molecule: ribosomal RNA, 440 nt
Filed under: uncultured bacterium
Lineage: Bacteria
Description: partial 16S ribosomal RNA
Rfam family: Bacterial small subunit ribosomal RNA
Source: RNAcentral
CCUACGGGAGACAGCAGGGGGGGAUAUUGCACAAUGGGGGGAACCCUGAUGCAGCGACGCCGCGUGGGUGAAGAAGCGCCUCGGCGCGUAAAGCCCUGUCAGCAGGGAAGAAAAUGACGGUACCUGAAGAAGAAGCCCCGGCUAACUACGUGCCAGCAGCCGCGGUAAUACGUAGGGGGCAAGCGUUAUCCGGAUUUACUGGGUGUAAAGGGGGCGCAGACGGCGAUGCAAGCCAGGAGUGAAAGCCCGGGGCCCAACCCCGGGACUGCUCUUGGAACUGCGUGGCUGGAGUGCAGGAGGGGCAGGCGGAAUUCCUGGUGUAGCGGUGAAAUGCGUAGAUAUCAGGAGGAACACCGGUGGUGAAGGCGGCCUGCUGGACUGCAACUGACGUUGAGGCCCGAAAGCGUGGGGAGCGAACAGGAUUAGAUACCCGUGUAGUC